RNAcentral lists this ribosomal RNA (800 nucleotides) under uncultured eukaryote. Its description in RNAcentral is "bacterial SSU rRNA". It matches the Rfam family "Eukaryotic small subunit ribosomal RNA", at positions 1 to 806 of the family's 1831-position model. The record is from RNAcentral.
ACCUGGUUGAUCCUGCCAGUAGUCAUAUGCUUGUCUCAAAGAUUAAGCCAUGCAUGUCUAAGUAUAAGUAUUGUACAGCGAAACUGCAGACGGCUCAUUAAAACAGUUAUGGUUUAUUUGAUGGUUAAACCUUUGCUACUUGGAUAACCGUAGUAAUUCUAGAGCUAAUACAUGCACGAAGGAGCGACUCACGAAGCUCUGUAUUUAUUAGAUUAAAGCCGAUCCCUUCAUUGGGCCUUGGUGAAUCAUAGUAACUUCUCGGAUCGCCGGCCCUGUUGCCAGCGACGUGUCAUUCAAAUUUCUGCCCUAUCAGCUUUAGAUGGUAGGAUAUGGGCCUACCAUGGCGGUGACGGGUGACGGAGAAUUAGGGUUCGAUUCCGGAGAGGGAGCCUGAGAAACGGCUACCACUUCUAAGGAAGGCAGCAGGCGCGCAAAUUACCCAAUCCUGAUUCAGGGAGGUGGUGACAAGAAAUAACAAUAGUUCGCCCUAGUGGUAAGCUAAUUGGAAUGAGUACAAUUUAAACAUCUUAACGAGCACCAAUUGGAGGGCAAGUCUGGUGCCAGCAGCCGCGGUAAUUCCAGCUCCAAUAGCGUAUACUAAAGUUGUUGCAGUUAAAAAGCUCGUAGUUGGAUUUCUGCCCGGGCGGGGCGUCCGCCGGCCUCAGGUCGGGUUGGGCAGCAACGCCCGGGCAUCCUGCCGCGAUCCGCGCUACCAUUCAUUUGGUGGCGUCUCGGGGACCGGCUCGAUUACUUUGAGAAAACUUGAGUGUUCAAAGCAGGCAAUUGCCUUGAAAAUUGUA